CAGACAGCCCUGCGCACUGAUGUCCUCUGCGCGCGGAGCCCAAGCAGCUGGGACAGCAGCCACUUUCCCAAGAUGCACCGCGCAGGUGCUUCAUCUUGGCCCUGGGAGGCCCACUUCUCAGGAUGAGAGGAUAAUUCACUCGCUAUAGCCCAUUCAAUCUUCAGCCCCU
This 169-nucleotide small RNA is filed under the name Dipodomys ordii (Ord's kangaroo rat). Its description in RNAcentral is "TUC338 (ENSDORG00000029614.1)". Lineage: Eukaryota; Metazoa; Chordata; Mammalia; Rodentia; Heteromyidae. The record is from RNAcentral.